Molecule: ribosomal RNA, 253 nt
Filed under: uncultured bacterium
Lineage: Bacteria
Description: partial 16S ribosomal RNA
Rfam family: Bacterial small subunit ribosomal RNA
Source: RNAcentral
UACGGAGGAUGCGAGCGUUAAUCGGAAUCACUGGGCGUAAAGCGCACGUAGGCGGCUUGGUAAGUCAGAUGUGAAAGCCCCGGGCUCAACCUGGGAACUGCAUUUGAUACUGCUUGGCUCGAGUCUGAUAGAGGGGGGUGGAAUUCCAGGUGUAGCGGUGAAAUGCGUAGAUAUCUGGAGGAACUCCAGUGGCGAAGGCGGCCCCCUGGAUCAAGACUGACGCUGAGGUGCGAAAGCGUGGGGAGCAAACAGG